UACCAGCACCCCGAGUGGUCGGGACGAUUAUUGGGCCUAAAGCAUCCGUAGCCGGUUUUACAAGUCCUCCGUUAAAUCCAGCUGCUUAACAGAUGGGCUGCGGAGGAUACUAUAAGACUAGGAGGCAGGAGAGGCAAGCGGUACUUAGUGGGUAGGGGUAAAAUCCGUUGAUCCAUUGAAGACCACCAGUGGCGAAGGCGGCUUGCCAGAACGCACUCGACGGUGAGGGAUGAAAGCUGGGGGAGCAAACCGG
RNAcentral lists this ribosomal RNA (253 nucleotides) under uncultured bacterium. RNAcentral's name for it is "partial 16S ribosomal RNA". It matches the Rfam family "Archaeal small subunit ribosomal RNA", at positions 474 to 727 of the family's 1478-position model. The record is from RNAcentral.